RNAcentral lists this unclassified non-coding RNA (716 nucleotides) under uncultured Capnodiales. RNAcentral's name for it is "sequence contains 5.8S rRNA gene, ITS2, 28S rRNA gene". The stretch from base 303 to 716 matches the Rfam family "Eukaryotic large subunit ribosomal RNA", at positions 1 to 418 of the family's 3401-position model. The record is from RNAcentral. Lineage: Eukaryota; Fungi; Ascomycota; Dothideomycetes; Capnodiales.
AACUUUCAACAACGGAUCUCUUGGUUCUGGCAUCGAUGAAGAACGCAGCGAAAUGCGAUAAGUAGUGUGAAUUGCAGAAUUCAGUGAAUCAUCGAAUCUUUGAACGCACAUUGCGCCCUAUGGUAUUCCGUAGGGCAUGCCUGUUCGAGCGUCAUUUCACCACUCAAGCCUAGCUUGGUAUUGGGCGUCGCGAUUUCCGCGCGCCUUAAAGUCUCCGGCUGAGCAGUUCGUCUCUAAGCGUUGUGAUUUUCAAAUCGCUGAAGAGUUCGGGCGGCGACGGCCGUUAAAUCUUUAUUCAAGGUUGACCUCGGAUCAGGUAGGGAUACCCGCUGAACUUAAGCAUAUCAAUAAGCGGAGGAAAAGAAACCAACAGGGAUUGCCCUAGUAACGGCGAGUGAAGCGGCAACAGCUCAAAUUUGAAAUCUGGCGCAAGCCCGAGUUGUAAUUUGUAGAGGAUGCUUCUGGGUAGCGACCGAUCUAAGUUCCUUGGAACAGGACGUCAUAGAGGGUGAGAAUCCCGUAUGUGACCGGCCCGCACCCUUUACGUAGCUCCUUCGACGAGUCGAGUUGUUUGGGAAUGCAGCUCUAAAUGGGAGGUAAAUUUCUUCUAAAGCUAAAUACCGGCCAGAGACCGAUAGCGCACAAGUAGAGUGAUCGAAAGAUGAAAAGCACUUUGGAAAGAGAGUUAAAAAGUACGUGAAAUUGUUGAAAGGGAA